UCCCUCCGGGAGGCAGCCGUGGGGAAUAUUGGCCAAUGGGGGGACCCCUGAUCCCGCGCCUCCUCUUUCUUUCCUCCUUCUUUCUUUAUGUACAUCUCUAUCAGCAGUUCCUCAAAUGACGGUACCUGACUAAGAAGCCCCGGCUAACUACGUGCCAGCAGCCGCGGUAAUACGUAGGGGGCAAGCGUUAUCCGGAUUUACUGGGUUUACAGGGAGCGUAUACGGUGCAGCAAGUCUGAUGUGAAAGGUCGGGGCCCAACCCCGGGACUGCAUUGGAAACUGUGCAGCUAGAGUGCGGGAGAGGG
RNAcentral lists this ribosomal RNA (305 nucleotides) under uncultured bacterium. RNAcentral's name for it is "bacterial SSU rRNA". It matches the Rfam family "Bacterial small subunit ribosomal RNA", at positions 335 to 658 of the family's 1533-position model. The record is from RNAcentral.